Molecule: long non-coding RNA, 477 nt
Organism: Peromyscus maniculatus bairdii (prairie deer mouse)
Lineage: Eukaryota; Metazoa; Chordata; Mammalia; Rodentia; Cricetidae
Source: RefSeq, a predicted model, not a curated record
AUGGUCAGUUGGUAGUUUCUAGAGAACAGAAUGUCAGUUUUCUUUAAAACUGUGGUUGCUGGUUGGUCUAAUACACUCCAGGAGACCACUGUACAUCCGGAAGAAUAUGGAUAGUACAAAUCUAAGUUAACAUUUACAAAGAAGUUAGAGAGGAACUUUGACAGAAGGGUAGCCUGUUCUAUAUCAAGACCACCACCCACACUUCACCCCUGGCAAUGUCUGGUGCACAGGGAUUAAGCAGAUGGAAUAUGUUGUGGAAGUGACCUUCUUUUUGACCUGAAAGCAUUCUUCAUUCUCUUGGGAUCAAGGGUACUGCGGCAGCCAUGUAUAGCCUUGAAGACAUCCUCUACCCUUUUAAAUGUAGCAAAGAAAGAUAAAAGAAAUGCUGUGAUGUUUUGUAACUUGUAUAUAGUACCUUUAUGUUCUGUUUCAUAACUAAUUGUCUUCAACUUGUGAUAAUUCCAAUUCUUUUUUUUA